Small nucleolar RNA from Echinops telfairi (small Madagascar hedgehog), 134 nucleotides. RefSeq annotates it as small nucleolar RNA SNORA42/SNORA80 family. The transcript has a single exon. NCBI's taxonomy places the organism in Eukaryota, Metazoa, Chordata, Mammalia, Afrosoricida, Tenrecidae. The record is from RefSeq and is a predicted model, not a curated record.
GCAUGGGUUUGGAUUGAUGGCAGGCCCGACCCCAUGGGCCUCUCAUAGUGUCCUGUGCCAGAGCGAACUGUAACCCCGAACCAUUGCCUGGCUCUGUCCCAUGGGCGGUGGGCACUGAAGUGGGUUGCAUAGUG